CCAAGACCUCCAGCCUCCCAAACCCAGAUUCCUGGUCCUAGGAGACGGCUUUCUCAGCUGCAGCCCAGACUCCGCGCUAAUCCGAAGAGCUGACCGUCUGCUGUUGACAGGCCAGCUUGAGUGAGAGGCCAAGAUAACUAUGAGAGGAAUGUAGUUUAUAGUUAAACUUCAAGGCAAGGAAAAAUGACACCCGUCCUUGUUU
Homo sapiens (human) is the source of this 202-nucleotide long non-coding RNA. RefSeq lists it as uncharacterized. The record is from RefSeq and is a predicted model, not a curated record. Lineage: Eukaryota; Metazoa; Chordata; Mammalia; Primates; Hominidae. The transcript is spliced from 3 exons.